AUCUUUCAUAAGCUUGAAUAUUGGGUUUUCACUCUCAUGUGAGAUGUCUCUCAAACUUUGCUAGGAAGUCAGCACCAUUGUGCACAUUACUUGUCUGACA
Small nucleolar RNA from Callithrix jacchus (white-tufted-ear marmoset), 100 nucleotides. Lineage: Eukaryota; Metazoa; Chordata; Mammalia; Primates; Cebidae. The record is from Ensembl.